This 465-nucleotide ribosomal RNA is filed under the name uncultured bacterium. RNAcentral's name for it is "partial 16S ribosomal RNA". It matches the Rfam family "Bacterial small subunit ribosomal RNA", at positions 338 to 795 of the family's 1533-position model. The record is from RNAcentral.
CCUACGGGGGGCAGCAGUGGGGAAUUUUGCGCAAUGCUCGUAAGAGUGACGCAGCGACGCCGCGUGAAUGACGAAGGCCUUCGGGUCGUAAAGUUCUUUCGACAGGGAAGAAAAUGCCUAUAAGUAACUGUGUAUGUAUUGACGGCACCUGUAUAAGCAGCCCCGGCUAACUCCGUGCCAUCAGCCGCGGUAAUACGGAGGGGGCGAGCGUUGUUCGGAGUGACUGGGCGUAAAGAGCACGUAGGCGGUGUUGUAAGUCAUUAGUCAAAGACUAGAGCUCAACUUUAGUAAGGCUAGUGAUACUAUAAUACGAGAGUAUCAGAGAGGAUUGCAGAAUUCCUGGUGUAGCGGUGAAAUGCGUAGAUAUCAGGAGGUAUACCGUUAGCGAAGGCGGCAAUCUGGCUGGAAACUGACGCUGAGGUGCGAAAGCGUGGGUAGCAAACAGGAUUAGAUACCCGAGUAGUC